Molecule: long non-coding RNA, 661 nt
Filed under: Homo sapiens (human)
Lineage: Eukaryota; Metazoa; Chordata; Mammalia; Primates; Hominidae
Description: non-protein coding lnc-CDY1-15:1
Source: RNAcentral
AAAUUAAUUCGUUUUCAUCUUGCCUUCAUCUAAAGUUCACCUGCAAUACAUAAGAAGUGAAUAACUGCUAGCAGAGAAGGCUGUUCUUGUCUGUAACUGACCCACUACCAUCAACCCUGGUUUUGAGCUGCUUGCAGCACCAGCUAUUGGCUGUGUAAAAAAUCUCACAAUGAUGCUAGACUGUUUGACUGAAACAUAUUACAAAGACAAAGCAAUAACUAGUAAUUCUGUGAUCCAGCAACUAUACAUAAUCCCAGUCAUCAGAAACAGUAUUUCUACAAUUGAAAACACAGUUAGUGAUGAACUCGAUGAUCGUUCAAAGAUGAGAAACAAAAUUGUGAGAGCAAUGCUCAUCUCCAAAAUGAUGUACGUAGUUAACGUCAUAAAUUUAAAGAUGAGCCCACAUUAAACAAGAUAGAAGAUAGGAAAGAGAACAAUAUUCGUGUCCAAAGACACCUUCAAGCCUCUUUUACAUUUAGUUGCCUUCUGACUAAAAUACUAUGUACUGAAAAUUUUUUGGAAACACUUCAGGUACAAAUGUGAGAAAUCUUUUACAACUUUAAAUGUGGACAUGAACAGUCUUCAAAAUCUUCUUCAUUCUGUGGAACAGUGUAUCAAAUUGAAUGUGCAAAUGCACAUCAUUGUAAAAUGUGAUAAAAAG